AAUAAAAAAUUCAAUACCUACCCAAUUUCUCCACAAUUGAUCUUCCAUAACGCCAGAAACAGCAUUCACUGCAUUAAGUUCCUCAUUCAUGUUCCAAGGUUUAUCUUCACUCCACCAGAUUAAGAUCCCAUUUUUAAUUUCUUCAUAUUCCUUCCCUCUUUGGAGAUACCAUCAGACAGAAGAUGCUUGGGUUAAUACAUCUCAAAUAUUACUUCCUCAGUGGCAGCAACACUCUGUCACUUCAUCUUCUUCUUCUUCUUCUUCUUCUUCUUCUCAGCCACCGAUAUCUAGAGUGAAUCAAGUGGAUUCGGCAAGAUUAGAUAUCGAGAUAUCGGGGAUGUUGAAAGAACAAUUAGUUAAGGUUUUCUGUUAAGGUUUUCAAUUUGUUAACUGUUUAUAUUUUCUUUUCCAAAAUUGCAACUUUGAUGAUCUCUCUAAUCAGUAAUCUAAAUCUUCUUAAACUGAUAGGGAGUGGGGUUUGCUAAUAGGUUCGUUUCAGAUUGUGGGUUUGUUUCGAAUUUUGAUUUGGUGUUUUUAUGUACAGGAAUUUCACUUCACAGAUUGUAUAUGAAGCUAAGAAAUCGGUUGGAUGGUUUUCUGAUGAAUCUUAUCGCGGAUCCAAGAAGUGCAUAGUUCUAAGAGAUUAAUUGGGUUUCUUUUGUAUCUUCAAUUUUUGAGAAAUUAAGUAGACAUGGUGGUGAAAUAUGAUCUAUUAACACCAACAAUUCAGGUUUUUACAGAAAUUAUGGGAGUUUAAUUGUUGCAGAUUUUGUGGAGAUUAUUGUUGUGUUGCAUGCCAACAUCCGUCUCAGGUGAGAAUGGGUGGCAACCUCUGGUGGGUUGCUUUGUUCGUGCAACUUUUGUUGGGAAUUUUAGUAACUUGACUAUCUAUUCUGUGAUAUUUGCAUCUACCACCAAAUAUGAGCAUGGGUGGGAACUACCUGCAUCAGUUGUUAAUGUACAAAAUUAUGGCGAUAAAGAUGAAAGUGACAAAUAGGAACCUCCGUGUCAUGAUCAAAUUCAGCCCAACAGUCAUAUGAUGAAAAAAUGGAUCAGUGAAUAGUGGGAUUAAGAAUCUAAGAUAGAAGGAUGAAUUUGCACGUCCUGAAAUGAUAAUAUACAUAAUGGGAUUAAGAUGGAAGGAUGAAUUUGCACGUCCUAAAAUGGUGAUAUUCAUGAGCUUACCAAGGUUUACAUAUUCAUAACCAAGCUUAGCCAGACCAGUUGAUACUAAAGCAUCAGUUGUUAUUGAUCCAACAAACACGACAUUUAGAGGGAUAAAGCUUUGAGGAGUUUCUUGGAUGGUAGCACUGGUGAUCUUGGUGCCUAUGAAGUUCAGCACUGAAUUGCCACAAUGAACAAAAUUACAGCUGCACAUGACAAGUCUGGUGCAGUAGAAUCUACUACAAUCAAAGAUAUCUCAAGUGGGACUCUCGGUGCCUCAUUGUACAGGCAUUCAGAUGAAGUUUGCAACAACGAUACACCUUUAAUAUUCUGACAGUGGUAUGCAACAAUACAUGACAAGCAGCAUGUUAAGAUGAAAGCUACAUCUUACAGUGUAUCGAUUCAUCCCGUGUUUCUGCUAUAGAAUUUUCGGAAUAUUGUGCUUAGUAAUCCACAAUCUAAAGGACCUCUACUGGCGUCUGAGUUGGUGUUGGUGAUUAUAAACGUUGUUGAGGUAUUAAGAACAACAUUAUAAUAAAGUCGUGGCAUUUAAACCUGAUAAGACGGGGUCCUUCCUAUGUGCAUUUUCUGUGAAAUUCUCAUGUAUUACAUACCCAUCACAUGAAAGAGAGUUGACCUGACGAACGACCUUAAAUUCAUCGUUGAUAUAGGUAAUAUGUUGCGGACCCAUUUGGUUAUGUAAAUUACCAUUAUGUUUUCUUUCUACCAUUAUGCUUUGUUUUA
This is a long non-coding RNA of Papaver somniferum (opium poppy), 1908 nucleotides long. RefSeq lists it as uncharacterized. The record is from RefSeq and is a predicted model, not a curated record. The transcript is spliced from 6 exons. NCBI's taxonomy places the organism in Eukaryota, Viridiplantae, Streptophyta, Magnoliopsida, Ranunculales, Papaveraceae.